This 149-nucleotide non-coding RNA is filed under the name Nomascus leucogenys (northern white-cheeked gibbon). The record is from Rfam by way of RNAcentral. Lineage: Eukaryota; Metazoa; Chordata; Mammalia; Primates; Hylobatidae.
GCUGGGCAUGGUAGUGCAUGCCUGUGGUCCCAGCUACCUGGGAGGCUGAGGUGGGAGGAUCACUUGAGCCCAGGAAGUUGACACUGCGGUGAGCCAUUGAGUGUACCACUGCACUCCAACCUGGGUGACAAAGUGAGAUCCUGUCUCAG